UACGGGAGGCAGCAGGGGAAGUAUUGGACAAUGGGCGAAAGACCUGAUCCAGCCAUGCCGCAUGAGUGAAGAAGGCCUUCGGGUUGUAAAGCUCUUUUAGUGAGAAAGAUAAUGACGGUACUCACAGAAGAAGUCCUGGCUAACUCCGUGCCAGCAGCCGCGGUAAUACGGAGAGGGCUAGCGUUAUUCGGAAUUAUUGGGCGUAAAGAGCGCGUAGGCUGAUUAGUAAGUUAAAAGUGAAAUCCCAAAGCUUAACUUUGGAAUUGCUUUUUAAAACUGCUAGUCUAGAGAUUUGAAAGAGGAUAGAGGAAUUCCUAGUGUAGAGGUGAAAUUCGUAAAUAUUAGGAGGAACACCAGUGGCGAAGGCGUCUAUCUGGUUCAAAUCUGACGCUGAGGCGCGAAGGGCUGGGGGA
RNAcentral lists this ribosomal RNA (413 nucleotides) under uncultured bacterium. RNAcentral's name for it is "bacterial SSU rRNA". It matches the Rfam family "Bacterial small subunit ribosomal RNA", at positions 340 to 768 of the family's 1533-position model. The record is from RNAcentral.